GGGUUAAGUCCCGCAACGAGCGCUAACCCCUAUUGUUAGUUGCCAUCAUUCAGUUGGGCACUCUAGCGAGACUGCCGGUAAUAAACCGGAGGAAGGUGGGGAUGACGUCAAAUCAUCAUGCCCCUUAUGACCUGGGCUACACACGUGCUACAAUGGUUGGUACAACGAGUUGCGAGUCGGUGACGGCGAGCUAAUCUCUUAAAGCCAAUCUCAGUUCGGAUUGUAGGCUGCAACUCGCCUACAUGAAGUCGGAAUCGCUAGUAAUCGCGGAUCAGCACGCCGCGGUGAAUACGUUCCCGGGCCUU
This 305-nucleotide ribosomal RNA is filed under the name uncultured Streptococcus sp. RNAcentral describes it as "bacterial SSU rRNA". It matches the Rfam family "Bacterial small subunit ribosomal RNA", at positions 1077 to 1382 of the family's 1533-position model. Lineage: Bacteria; Bacillati; Bacillota; Bacilli; Lactobacillales; Streptococcaceae. The record is from RNAcentral.